AAAAAAAAAAGGAAAAAGAAAAAAGGAGAGAGAAGGGAAGGAAGGGAAUUGUUGGAGGGCGAGGGUUUCCCCGCGGUCUGGGGGCAGAGAUGUGGUGGCUGAGGAGCGCUACCGGAGGAGCCCGGGAUCCCCGAGGUGCAUCAGUCCCGAAAUAAGGGAGAGCAGCAGCAUCGCUCCCGGCCACCAAAGGUACACUCGUUUCGGUCAAUAGCAUUUUUUUCCCCCACUUCCCCUCGGUGUUUGCUAAAGGGCGCGGAGCUGCGUGCGAGUCCCACAGCCGGAGGAGAAAGGAAACGCGAAGAGCUUCUUCCAGCGGACGCUGCUCCCCUUCCCCUCCAUCCUGCGGGGUGAGGAACGGAGGGGCUCGGAGAGCGGCGGGGGGGAGGGUGGGAGGAAUCGCUAUUUUCCUUGAAGAACAAUUCAGGACAAUUAUUAUUAAUGCACGCAGCCGGCACCUGCGCGGCUCUCUGCCCGCUUCCCGAAUGGGACUUUUACUGCCCGUAAGCGGCGAACCAGGGCCGGUAAUAGGAUCAGGAAGGGAGGCGUUAGGCGGAAUGCCGCUGCGGCACUACUCGUAAAGGCGCGCUCCCGACAAACGCCUUCGGCCGAGAGGCUGUAAACGUUUUACGGGUAAUGAGAAAGGCAAGGGUUUGGCACGAAGGGGCGGGAAGGGUCGCACCACCUUUUGCUGGACGGGGCCGUGCUCGUUGCUGAAUGCUGGCGUGGGGGCUUCGGCCCGCCGAACGACCACGGAAAGCAAACCAGUAACUUUUACAGAGGAAAGUAAAAUAUUUCAAGUCAAGAACUCCUCUAGUAGCUGAAAAUUAACUUCUGACAACACGCGAGAUUUUCCCUCCCCGCCAUAUCAAAGAAACGUCUGUACGUUAAUUUCACCCUGAAAGAUUUGAGAAAUAACAGCGCCUCAGGGCAAAUUUUCAGCUUCAGAAGGACCCUUUGAGUCGAAGUAGGCGCAGAGAGUACGCCCAAAGCCGCGCAAUACAGCCUCAUUGAUUUUGCUGCGGUGUUCGCACGCCCGGGGAGUACAGAAGCGCAGAUCCCUGAGUUCUUCUGACGAGAUUUUAAUUAGGAAAUGGAAUUCCCCGCUCUGGAGCUGUGCCUUCGUGUAGAUGAGGCAUGACGGCUGGGAGCUUUGCCGAG
This is a long non-coding RNA of Gallus gallus (chicken), 1158 nucleotides long. NCBI's taxonomy places the organism in Eukaryota, Metazoa, Chordata, Aves, Galliformes, Phasianidae. The record is from Ensembl.